CUUCUAUUCUGACAACACAUAAACACAUAGACACAUAUUUUUUGUUCUUUUGAUCUUUGCUUUCCCUUUUUUUUCCUCUCUCAAUUUUUGUUCCUUGACUUUCCAUUUCUUUCUUGUUGAUGAAUGAUGGAGAGAUUGCUUACUUUAUUCCAAUAAAUGACGUUCCUCAGAAACCAUGGUGCACUAUCUACAUGGUAAAUGCAUGGUCUACCUCACAGAUGAAGAGAAGGAAGAGAAAAAGUUACACCAGAAACUCCCUUUUCCUGUGGCAUAAAUGGUUUACAGACAGACUUUUCAAUAAUACCAGCUUGAUUAAGUUGAACCGGUAAAUAUAUUUAUAUGGAGUUACACAAACAUUAGACUAAGAAUUACUAAGAAUUGUGGAAUUAAUAAAAACACUAAAAAUACAUUAAUGACAGAUUUGUAGAAAAAAUGAGAAAAAUUAAAUCAUUAGUUGAUUAUAAUGCUUGUAAAUAUGACAUCUUGAAUGAUAAAUGAAUCAUUAAAGAAGUUGCCAGUUUAUUCAAAACACGCGGGCUGAUUAUUAUAAACCAAUCAUGAAUGAGAUUAACCAAAAUAAAGGGUUUGGCUUUUUUAAAAAAGUUUAAUGUAACGGUUUUCUGGUGUUUUUUAGAGUUAUUCAUUGAAUCUGAUUGCUAAUUUAAAAAAAUUGUUCCUAAUGUUCAUGGAGUGAAGUUUCUUUCGUUAAAAUACGCUGCCAAAAGUAACCAUUUCUAACUGCUGAGUCAGGGAAGAAAGACAGACGAUUAGAAGUGUGAAAUCUUUGGACGAUAUGGAUUUAACUCUGUAAAUUGGACUCAUUUACUGACCUAGAAUAGUAUUGUAAACUAUGAAUUUUCACUCAGACAGGAAUUAUUGCUCGGACAAUUUUGGUGAAUACACUUUGAGUAUAAUAAAUCUAAUAUCUUUUUGAUCUUAUUUAUAUCUAAUGAUUCCGCAUAAUCGACUUUUCAUCUUAAUGUUUGGCUGGAAACGAAUUAACUUUUCUCCUCUUCAAUGACCAUUUUUGCUCCAAACGAACUGUCCCAAAGUCUUGAAUGAUUUAAGGAUAAAAUGAGUUUCUUUCCCAAUAUUGUGCUUAUUAUUUCUACAGUUAUAAUGGUUAGUCUUGAUUCCCAUCGGACUACUUUAACAGUUUAACCCUUUGUUUUUGGGUUUCUGGUUAAUAUAGAGAUUGACAUCUGUUUGUUUGGCGUAUUUUACUAUUCUAAGAUCUUACAUCAACCUACAUAACAAGGAAUACGAAGGUUAUAAGGAAUACAACUCUUCUUUAGCUUAAUCUUGAUGGACAGCUUGGAUUGGAUUACAACAAUUAUCCAGUUUUACCAGUGACCAGUUUCAUGACGGAAUUUAUUUACAUUGGAUAAGAAUCAAGUUGAACCUGAUAAUAAACUCGCCUUUCCAUGAAAUAUAUCCCAUACAAGCUCAUUUAACAGGACACAUGAAGAUUUUAUAUUGAGCAAUAUUGAGCUACAUUACCUGUACAUUACCAUGUAGUAAAAAGCCUUACAAUUACAGGAUGAUGUAAAAAUGUUUUACUGUUUUAAUGUAAAACCUGAUCAAUUGUAUGCAUAUCAUUAAAAGACACUAUUGUUAUCCAUGGAACAAUUCCUUUUUUAUAUCCAAUCAAUGAUCAUGUUUUCUUUCUGGAAUGAACGAUUGUCCAUACACAUUUGUCUUGACAAGGAAACAAGGUGGAACAAGAUUGAUCAUUUUCAGGAUAGUUAAGUCGGCAAAUUAAAAAGUAACCAGACCAAAUUGAUAGAUUGGUUAUGGAUGAUUUUAUGGACCAACAUUUUCAAUUUAACUUGAAAACCGAAAUGUUAAUCGUUUUUUUUAAACGACAUUGACAUUUACAAGCUUUCCAAUUUAUUAAUGCAUGUUGAUUCUCAUCUAAAUCAACCAUUAAUAGUUGCUUCAGCUGAUUCCCUAUAAAUAUACCAACAAUCAAUCCCUUUCCCAACAAAACUUAAUAGACUGAAACUAUUUCCUAAUAACUGUAAUUAACCCUAACCUGACUGAUCAAAGAGUCUGAAAUGGAUACAGCAAAGGUUCACAAGAAAGUUAGUUAUCUCUAUCGGUUGGUAUAAAUAUUGCUUUCAUUAAUUGUUCAGUCAACUGUAGUAAUUAAUCUUUACCCUGUUAACUUUUUUUCUUGGAAAAAUAUUUUUCCAACUUGAAACUGAAUCGAUGGAAAGUUGUUAUCAUUAUUUCACUUUUAUUUUUCUCUCCCAACAAAUCUAGUCAGUGUCAUUAGUGUGACAAUUAGAUUCAUUUUCACAACAAUGAAUGUUCUCAUUGAUUCUGUUUCAAUUUCCGUUCACUUGACAAUUUAAUCGACUAGAUAAACGUUGAUGAAUAUGUCUAGUGUUAACUAUUUAAAUUUCAAUUCCCUAUCCAUACCAACCCUUUCCAUGAAAUGAAAACAUUGUCUUUAGUAUAACCAUAAAUAAUCUUAUCGUCAGCUCUAAAUGUUCAAUGUCUAUCACUAAAUAUUUAUGAGUUGACUUAAUUUGUCACUAACUAACUACUAACCUUAACUAUUUUGACAAUGAUAAAAUGAUAUCAAUAGUAGAUUUAUCCUCUAAAUGAAAAUCAAUCCUACCUUGAUAGACAAUAUUUACCUUGAUUUAAUUUAAUAUUUGCUCAGACAGAGUAAACCUUAAAUUCAUAAGGAAUCCGCCUUUACUAAUUAUAUAAUAGCAGAUGUAGAUUCAUUUAACUGAUAUAUAAAUUAUCCCAAGCCUUUUAAUUCAUAAUUAACCACCUUAACAGACUGUUAACAUUUCCCUUGUAAAAAGUAAGGCUGACUUGCUGUUGGCUGAGAACCUUUUCUGAGUGUUGAAUAAACGAAAAGAAAAUUUAAUCUAAAAAUUUGACUCUAAAUCAAGUUAAUUGAAAGUUAAAUUAAAACCCAACUACUAGCUUGAUUAGAGUUACAUUUCAAUUAGAUGAAUCUCUCAAAACACACUCCAUUAUAUUAAUCAUUCAGCAAAUUGAAUGACAUUUCAUUACACCAAAGUAAUGAUUUUUUGCUUUCUCUCAUUUUAACCAUCAACAUAUCAAAUCAAUUUAAUCUAAUUAGCCGACUAAUAAUUGUUGAAUCUCAAAUACAAUCCACUAUCAAUGCAUUAUCAGAGAAAAAUGUUUUCACUUUCGACCCAAAUAAUAACUUUCCGAUUAUCUAAUGUUUUUUUCCUCGCUUUUUUUUCAGAUGAUAUCAGCAUUUGGUUAAAUUGUUUGGGAAGUUACUUUUAAUGGAAACAAAUGUCAAUGGUGGCCACUCAUUAAUAAUCGACUACAAUUAACUGGAAACAGUUUAUUGACCCAUUUCUUUGAAAAUAAUAAUUUUUGACUCGCUGCAGCCAAGAAAUACGCAAGUUCAUCUGAUGAAUGACAUCCUGAACUUUCAAAAUACAAAAUCAACAGAUUCAAGACAGCUCUUUGCCCUGGCACAACCUCAUUUUAAUGGUUCCUUUUGAAGAUGGUUGGAGUAAAGGUUAAUCUAGUAAACUCAUCUGGAAAUCAUAAUUCAUGGGAUUAAUUGGUGUUUAUGCGCAAAAGUGUUGCUAAUAUGAAAUAAGACAUUGAAUUUUGGUUUCAACCUAAUUGGGUUAAGGAAAGCCGGUGUCAACCUGCAAAUCCAUUUACAUAAUACUUUUAUUUUGAAGAAUGGGAUUAACCAUUGACUAAUUCAUCAGAUGGGUUAACUGUAACAAUUUAACUGACAAUGGGUGUGGUCAUCAAUGUGUAUAUAUCUCGAACCGGUAAACAUACAACUCAAGGCAACCGAGACUUGAACAGAUCUGCGUAUUAAAAGGCAAAAAGGAGAGGAAGAAGACAAGAGAUGAAACAUUAUCAUCAUCAUCAUCAUCAUCAUCAUCAACAACAACAACAUCACUUUAUAAAAACAAACAACAACACCGCCAGUAACAUCAAGUAAUUAGAUUGAAUUCA
Tetranychus urticae (two-spotted spider mite) is the source of this 3978-nucleotide long non-coding RNA. RefSeq lists it as uncharacterized. The record is from RefSeq and is a predicted model, not a curated record. NCBI's taxonomy places the organism in Eukaryota, Metazoa, Arthropoda, Arachnida, Trombidiformes, Tetranychidae.